This 468-nucleotide ribosomal RNA is filed under the name uncultured bacterium. RNAcentral's name for it is "partial 16S ribosomal RNA". It matches the Rfam family "Bacterial small subunit ribosomal RNA", at positions 28 to 507 of the family's 1533-position model. The record is from RNAcentral.
GACGAACGCUGGCGGCGUGCUUAACACAUGCAAGUCGAGCGGAAAGGCCCUGCUUUUGUGGGGUGCUCGAGUGGCGAACGGGUGAGUAACACGUGAGUAACCUGCCCUUGACUUUGGGAUAACUUCAGGAAACUGGGGCUAAUACCGGAUAGGAGCUCCUGCUGCAUGGUGGGGGUUGGAAAGUUUCGGCGGUUGGGGAUGGACUCGCGGCUUAUCAGCUUGUUGGUGGGGUAGUGGCUUACCAAGGCUUUGACGGGUAGCCGGCCUGAGAGGGUGACCGGCCACAUUGGGACUGAGAUACGGCCCAGUCUCCUACGUGAGGCAGCAGUGGGGAAUAUUGCACAAUGGGCGGAAGCCUGAGGCAGCAACGCCGCGGGCGGGAUGACGGCCUUCGGGUUGUAAACCGCUUUCGCCUGUGACGAAGCGUGAGUGACGGUAAUGGGUAAAGAAGCACCGGCUAACUACGUG